GAAGCGGAACACGAACCUAUUUCCGCUAUUCCGGGUUCUUAUUGAGCGUAGCGAAAUCAAGGUUGAUGAUAAAGUCAGCGAAGUUUCCAUGGUGUUCUACCUUUGCGUAGUCUCGGUCCACAGUGGAAGGCUCCGCACCUGAGCCUCGUUAGACUCAGCUGAAGUGUAAGGUGUAAGUGAAGAAAAUAGAAGAGAUGAAGUCCGUCCCUUAGCCUAGUCUAUAUCCACAGCUGACGCAACUCCGUACCGACGCCUCACUACUACUUUCAUUUUUCUUUUAUUUUUAAAUUAAUUAACGGCUAAGCGAUUUCAUAACCUGAGCUUUCC
Molecule: long non-coding RNA, 327 nt
Filed under: Nicotiana benthamiana
Lineage: Eukaryota; Viridiplantae; Streptophyta; Magnoliopsida; Solanales; Solanaceae
Description: long non-coding RNA (NBEN_LNC016452)
Source: RNAcentral